This 292-nucleotide ribosomal RNA is filed under the name uncultured bacterium. RNAcentral's name for it is "partial 16S ribosomal RNA". The record is from RNAcentral.
GGACUACUGGGGUAUCUAAUCCCGUUCGCUCCCCUAGCUUUCGCGCCUCAGCGUCAGUUACAAGCUAGCAAUCCGCCUUCGCCACUGGUGUUCCUUCGCAUAUCUACGCAUUUCACUACUACAUGCGAAAUUCCAAUUGCCUCUCUUGCACUCCAGCCCCGCAGUAUUGGACGCAGUUUCGAGGUUGAGCCUCGAACUUUCACAACCAACUUACGGAACCGCCUACGCGCUCUUUACACCCAGUAAAUCCGGAUAACGCUCGCCCCCUACGUAUUACCGCGGCUGCUGGCAC